AAAACUCCCAGACGAGGAGUUUCGUACAAUUUGAAGAGCUCAUCUGUAACGUAUCUCUGCCAGCAUAUGAAAUAUGUAGCGAGUAGUCGACACAACCAGGAUAAUUUAAGGCAACAAAAUGGAUUGGCACUAUAAAGCACUAUAUAUCUGGUUUACAAUGUCCAAUUGUAUAGUGUCCAGUACAUUAGGCGUGUUUAUGACCAAUUUUCGAGGAGCCGGCAGUUAAUUCACAGUGUCGAAUAGCAUUUUGGAUGGCGUGUUGGGAAAGUAAGGAUUGGAUGGAAAAUCAUGGUAGCUUUCCCGCGUCCGAAUAGCUAGUCUUAUGGAGCAACACAGGUAGAGCCAGACUGCCGAUCACGUGACCGACCUGCGCACUCACGUGACUGCUGUGCGCACCAACGUGAGGGGCAAACCUUCGGCUUUCAGACACUGAUCCGGUGACGCCGUGACGAUCAUUGUGCGGCCCUUCUGCACACGGAAACAGUCGCGUGACACCUGCAUAUUGACGAUUGUUGGCAGAAACAGGAUCAAACUUUGAGUUGCUCCUUUCGAGGGCCUUAACUUUGGGAUCCCUGCUUUGAAUUAAAUGGAGAUGAAAGAACCCGCGGAGGACGGGAAUAAGACAAAAAUACGAGCAGGGAGUGACGGGACUCCGAGACCGCGCAACAUUCUGACAUCGAGAUCCUCGCGGGCUUCCAGGAGUUCACGGGGGGAUGGAUUCCGGGGGUCGGUUUGGAGCGCCGCGUCGUCGAUGCUACACCGCCUUCGGACCCGGCAAUGCAAGGUCCUAGUCCUCUGCCUCGUACUGCUUCUCAUUCUGGUGCUGGCUGUCACUUUUAUCGGAGUUUCCCUUACUGGGAAUGAUGUGGCACAACCAGGGAACAAUGAGUUCAUUCCUGCAACAGUCAAAACUGAAUACGAAGAGUUGAUUGGGUUUUCGUCAGAGUACACUUGUCCCAAAGGGGAGUUCCGGUGUGGCAACCUGACUCACUGCGUCGCCCAGAAAUACCAAUGCAACGGUGAGGACGACUGCGGCAACAACGCGGACGAGACCGAGUGCGAACAUAACGAGGGCUGGAUUAAAACCUUCGACGAACAGAACCCCGUCCCAGUGGACCUAGAUUGGCAGAUCAACCAGGAGUGUGGUCUGUACGGGUUCCCUGACGUCUGCGUGUGUUUCGAGGAGACCGAAUUGAAGUGCAUCCAGGUCAAUUUGACCCAGGUACCGCAGAGCGUCUCGGCAAACCUGACGCGCUUAAACUUGAACGGUAACAUGGUGCACUUGGAAGACGGUGCCUUCGAAAGAUACACCAAGCUGGGAUCGCUGAAUCUAAUGCAGAACGGGAUCCGGGAGUUGCCGCGGGACGUCUUUCGAGGUCUGACGGAUCUCGACAAACUGUACCUGUCUACGAACAGAAUUUCUACAAUAACUCCUGGGACAUUCCGCUUUCUGCAGAACCUCACGUGGCUGUUCCUGAAUGAGAAUGAAAUCGAGACUUUGGACGAGGAUGUCUUCGAAGGGCUGCACAAAGUAUACUGGCUAAUGUUGCAGAAGAACAAAAUUGGAGAUCUUAACCACGGUGUCGCCUUCAGAGACCUUCCCAAAUUGAUGUGGCUGGAUAUGUCUAAUAAUCCCUUGCAUCACCUGUCGGCGGAUAACUUCUCAGCGUCCGGUAAUCCGCCCCUCAGCAUCCUCAUGCUGAGUAACUGCAACAUCAGCACCAUACAGAAAGACACAUUCCAGGCUUUCAGAGAGCUGACAGCACUUCACGUCUCCGGAAACAAAAUCGGGCAUUUUCCGUCCGGGCUGUUUCGCAACAUGGCCAACCUUACAGUCUUGACGAUUGCGAAUAAUCCGGCGACGUCCCUGCCCGAGGACCUGUUCGAUGACCUUGUUCUCCUGGAUGAUUUAAACUUAGGAGGCCUCGUCAUCAAUAACAUCAGCGCAAGGAUGUUCAAAGGGAUGACUAAUCUGCAACACAUCGAGUUCUUCAAGUUCGAGUACUGCCGCUACGCAGCCCACGUGCGCACCUGCAAGCCGCGAUCCGACGGCAUCUCCUCCUUCGAAAACUUACUCAAGGACGGCAUCCUGCGAGUGUCCGUCUGGACCAUCGCCCUCUUGUGUUUCCUGGGCAACAUUGGGGUCCUGAUCAGCCGCUACCUGAUGAAGGCCGAGAACCGCAUCCACUCGCUGGUAGUCGUCAACCUGUGCACCGCGGAUUUCUGCAUGUCCAUCUACCUGUUCGUCAUCGGCUACCACGACGCCAAGUUCCGCAACCAGUUCAACACCCACGCCCUGGAGUGGAUGCAGGGCUCCGCCUGCAAGUUCGCCGGCUUCAUGGCCAUGUUUUCCAGCGAGGUGUCGGUCUUCAUGCUCACCUUCAUUUCCCUGGAGCGCUUCAUCUGCAUCGUCUAUCCAUAUCGGCUGCACAGGCUGACGUCCAAAGAAGCCCUUGUGAUCAUGACAAUCAUCUGGUUCUUGGGAGCCCUGGUAGCGUGGAUUCCCCUGAUCAGCGUGGGUUACUUCGUCGAUUUCUACGGCAGCAACGGCGUGUGCUUCCCGCUGCACAUCCACGACCCGUGGCUGCAAGGCUGGGAGUACUCGGCUUUCAUCUUUCUGGGACUGAACGCGACCUGCUUCACCGCAAUCGCCAUCUCCUACACAGGCAUGUUCAUUAGCAUACAACAGACGCGAAAGGCAGCCACUCACCUCGGCAGACGCGGGGACAUGAAUUACGCCAAGCGGUUCCUCUUCGUUGUCAUGACAGACGCCCUCUGUUGGCUGCCCAUCGCCAUCCUCAAAAUACUCUCACUAUGCAGCUACGAAAUUCCAGCGACCUUGUACGGCUGGAUCGUCAUCUUUGUUCUGCCCAUCAACAGCGCCCUCAACCCCAUCCUGUACACCCUCAGCACCACGUCCUUCACGCAGUGGUUCCAAAAGCACCUGAAGCGACGCAAGGGCAAGUCCAGCAAUGGCAGCCUGGGCUCCAAGAACGAAUUCUCCACCACGAGAGUCUUUGAGGCUCAAGCUGACGGCUGCCAAUCACCAGAUUCAGCACGGGUCCGCUUCGUGUUUUGGUCCGGCCUCAGGUAGCAGCCACUGCCCUAACCGCUUUGCCUUUGUCCGCCUUACAUUGUAAACCAGCCCCGGUUAAAGGUAAUCGGCUUCCGAAAACAUGUCUUCGGUUUUGGUUGCUAGACGGAGAAAAAGUGCCUGCAAGUGAUUCCCUAAUUCAACCAUGAGUCUGUUUUUGUGUAAUAUGUAGAAAUAAUCUAACACAUCCCCCCCCCCCUCGCUUCGUAAAGUCCAAGUAAUCACAAGCCACAUCACAGUCCAUCACCAGGCGAAUAACGAGUAAGAUGACAAUCAUGUAGUCUGGCUCCCCGACCCCAUUGUCCUUCAGACGUUAAAAAUGGGGACAGGUAGCUAGCAAUGAUGUUCCAAAUAUCAGAAAGCAUCCCUCCUGAUGUAUGAAAAUAAAUAUACAUGACGGUGUAGAGGUCUGAAUCCUGCCUCCUGAACUUGAACAUCACAACGGCAAUGUUUGCCCGCAACCAGCCUAUUGCAAAAUGACAAUUUCGGAGGUGAUGAGCUUCGAUUUUUGCUGAAUGCGAAAGUGUCUCUGGAAAAUAUCGAUACAGAGAGAGAAAUUACUGUUCAGUAUUUAAAACCUAUGCAGUUGAGAUGCUUUAAAGUUACCUUCAUUGAGACACUGAUGAUUUUGUGUACUUUUGUGGUAAGACAAGAGCCGUCUGUGCACUGAGCUAAACAGCGAUUUAAAAAAUAAACAGUCAUGCAGAGGAGAUCCAAUCAAUGGCUUUAAAUGGGAGCUAUAUCUACCGGUCCCCACAUUUUUAGGAGGAAACAGUCUAACAAUCAAGCAACAAGAAAUAAAUAGUAACACAGAUUUUUUGUGUGUAGAUGUUCAAUUGGAUACCUUCAGACUUGACUUGGUGCCGAAAGACAUGAUGUAUUUGUGAUAAAGGGCUGGACAAGUAAUUUCGCCCUUUUUAACCAACUAACAAAAUGUUAUUUUCACCUCCUCCAUUGUCAAUCUCUGUUUAAUUGUGGUAUUUACAGCUCUGCUGUGCCUGAUAUGUAUAAUCUGUGUAUUGUAUGUUGUGCACAUUUGGAGUGAUACAACCUGUUAUAGCGGCAUUGUUUUGUUACACUGUUAAUUCUUCUGUAAGAUAGUCAACAUUGUCUUUCUUUGGUUGUUUAUCAGUUAAUAAUAAGAUUGUGAUUUUGUUGUUUCAAUCGUUGUUUAUGUGACCAUAUGCCUGAACAACGUACUAUUACUAUUACUACUACAUGUAUCACAUCAAUUGGUAAUAUCCUGGACUGAAACUAAGCAAUAUUCCCAAUACAGGGCGCCACCAAGAGUUUGCCGUAGAGAGGCCAUUUUUCGCAGCGCACCAUGGGAAAAGUCCGCGUCCAAGUUGACAGCUUAAACAUUGAAGGAUCGGUUCGACCACAGACCAACCCACCGAGUACUCCUCGAUCCCCAAGCGGUCCUACGACAGCAAUAAUUCCUCGCCCGUGCU
This 4545-nucleotide unclassified non-coding RNA is filed under the name Patiria miniata (bat star). RNAcentral's name for it is "relaxin receptor 1-like, transcript variant X2". Lineage: Eukaryota; Metazoa; Echinodermata; Asteroidea; Valvatida; Asterinidae. The record is from RNAcentral.